Molecule: long non-coding RNA, 477 nt
Organism: Engraulis encrasicolus (European anchovy)
Lineage: Eukaryota; Metazoa; Chordata; Actinopteri; Clupeiformes; Engraulidae
Exons: 3
Source: RefSeq, a predicted model, not a curated record
GGAAGAAGAACUUGCAGGUAUGCUACCGACCAGGCUCCUCAACAUCAAUCCGAGACGGAAGAUGAACCGGGAUGAAGCAGUUAGAUUGAGACAAGGCGGCCGGAAACUUUGAUGACCUCAAUGACACUGGCUAGGUGAAGGACAUCAAGAAAAUGGCAUCCGGUCACCAGACAUCAGCUCAUAAGCCACAACGUCAUCAACCAUUUUGCGCCAAAAAUGAAGCCGUUCACAUACCAUGGCAUCCUAAGCAGGCAGCACCACACUACUGUGCAACAGUGAGAGAGAGCGGGCAAGGACAAGUAAAACGGACCUACACUACAGCAAGACUUUGACACUUCUCCACGUGAGAGGCAGCCAUCGCCCCCACCGUGGAGCAGUGUGUACCCAGUACCCCCAAAAGAGGAGAUGAUCCGACGCCAUCACAGCCGAUUUCCAAAAUUGUACACCAAACUCUGUAUGGGCGUGUGUGUGUGUGUG